CCUACGGGAGGCAGCAGUGAGGAAUAUUGGACAAUGGCCGGAAGGCUGAUCCAGCCAUGCCGCGUGCAGGAUAAGGUCCUAUGGAUUGUAAACUGCUUUUGAGAGGGAGCAAUAAGUGUGACGGGUCACACGAUGAGAGUACCUUUCGAAUAAGCAUCGGCUAACUCCGUGCCAGCAGCCGCGGUAAU
RNAcentral lists this ribosomal RNA (188 nucleotides) under uncultured rumen bacterium. Its description in RNAcentral is "partial 16S ribosomal RNA". It matches the Rfam family "Bacterial small subunit ribosomal RNA", at positions 338 to 524 of the family's 1533-position model. The record is from RNAcentral.